GAACGAUUACAGCUCUUUUAGGGUUUGUCUAGCAGGUUUCCUGAUUUUUACUGAAACCAAA
This is a small nuclear RNA of Theropithecus gelada (gelada), 61 nucleotides long. Its record names the gene U7. It matches the Rfam family "U7 small nuclear RNA". Rfam says of the family: Animal histone pre-mRNAs are spliced by a different mechanism than nuclear pre-mRNAs and self-splicing introns. This processing involves the U7 snRNP, which contains only one RNA species: U7. The 5' end of U7 RNA is thought to base-pair to a conserved spacer element downstream of the cleavage site in histone pre-mRNA. Lineage: Eukaryota; Metazoa; Chordata; Mammalia; Primates; Cercopithecidae. The record is from Ensembl.